This 492-nucleotide ribosomal RNA is filed under the name uncultured bacterium. RNAcentral describes it as "partial 16S ribosomal RNA". It matches the Rfam family "Bacterial small subunit ribosomal RNA", at positions 29 to 507 of the family's 1533-position model. The record is from RNAcentral.
AGUGAACGCUGGCGGUAGGCCUAACACAUGCAAGUCGAACGGCAGCACAGUAAGAGCUUGCUCUUACGGGUGGCGAGUGGCGGACGGGUUAGGAAUACAUCGGAAUCUACUUUUUCGUGGGGGAUAACGUAGGGAAACUUACGCUAAUACCGCAUACGACCUACGGGUGAAAGCAGGGGAUCUUCGGUCCUUGCGCGAUUGAAUGAGCCGAUGUCGGAUUAGCUAGUUGGCGGGGUAAAGGCCCACCAAGGCGACGAUCCGUAGCUGGUCUGAGAGGAUGAUCAGACAAACUGGAACUGAGACACGGUCCAGACUCCUACGGGAGGCAGCAGUGGGGAAUAUUGGACAAUGGGCGCAAGCCUGAUCCAGCCAUACCGCGUGGGUGAAGAAGGCAUUCGGGUUGUAAAGCCCUUUUGUUGGGAAAGAAAAGCAGCAGGUUAAUACCCCGCUGUUCUGACGGUACCCAAAGAAUAAGCACCGGCUAACUUCGUG